Non-coding RNA from Microcebus murinus (gray mouse lemur), 784 nucleotides. Lineage: Eukaryota; Metazoa; Chordata; Mammalia; Primates; Cheirogaleidae. The record is from RefSeq and is a predicted model, not a curated record.
CUCCGUACCUGCAGUUUCCUCAGCGCCCAAGGUCGGACGGCUUGUUUAACUUUCUCCAACUCCUGCAGGUGGGCUUCCAAAUUUUCCUCUGUCUCCUGUAACUCCCUUACCUGGGCUUCUUGGCGCAGGGUGUCCUUAUGCUGCUCCCAGAGGGCUGUAAGGAAGAGCCGGCCCACCCGACCAGCCGCUACUUGCUCCCUAGGCCCCAGAGACUCCUCCAAGGCCUUCGAGGCUUUUUCUAGGGUGGCAGGUGUACGUUCUACCGCUCCCACCCCCUGGCAGGGGCCCACGACACGAAGACCGCUGCCACUGGCUGCCACAAGCCCAUAGGGGGCCACAUGACCUCCCCUGCUGGGUGGAGGGGACACUUAGCACUCCGGGUCCUGCCAGAAUACACCAAGUGUGAGGAGGAUGCUCCGUGGCUAGCACGUGCUCCCGCGAUGGCUUCGGGAAUCGGAAGAUAAGGCGAGUGGCAGCAGGCAGAGAAACUGAGGCAUGACUGAAUGAAAUGGACCUGAAAGAAGCAGCCAGUGAAAGGACUCCAUGCCGAGAGCUCAGAGCAGUGCAUUAGGACUUUGAAAUCUGACUCACAAGAAUGGUCUGAUAAGAUCCCUGCUAUUCCAAAGUGGUGACAGAUAUAUGAUAUAAGGAUACAAUGAAAGUUGGCAGUCUGCAUACCAGAAGACGGUCUUCACCAGAACUUUACCAUCCUGGUAUUUUGAUCUUUGACCUCCAGCCUGCAGAACUGUGAAAAAUAUUGAUAGUUUUCUAUUGUUUAAAUUAA